Molecule: ribosomal RNA, 239 nt
Filed under: uncultured bacterium
Lineage: Bacteria
Description: partial 16S ribosomal RNA
Rfam family: Bacterial small subunit ribosomal RNA
Source: RNAcentral
UGGGUAAUCUGCCCUCGAUUCUGGGAUAGCCCGGGGAAACCCGGAUUAAUACCGGAUAGCCUCUCGAGCUUUCGGGCUCGUGAGAAAAGGUAGCUUCGGCCUCCGAUCGAGGAUGGGCCCGCGGCCUAUCAGCUUGUUGGUGGGGUAACGGCCUACCAAGGCGACGACGGGUAGCUGGUCUGAGAGGACGACCAGCCACACUGGAACUGAGAUACGGUCCAGACUCCUACGGGAGGCAG